RNAcentral lists this ribosomal RNA (259 nucleotides) under uncultured prokaryote. RNAcentral describes it as "partial 16S ribosomal RNA". It matches the Rfam family "Bacterial small subunit ribosomal RNA", at positions 524 to 782 of the family's 1533-position model. The record is from RNAcentral.
UACGUAGGUGGCAAGCGUUGCCCGGAUUUAUUGGGCGUAAAGCGAGCGCAGGUGGUUUCUUAAGUCUGAUGUGAAAGCCCACGGCUCAACCGUGGAAGGUCAUUGGAAACUGGGGAACUUGAAUGCAGAAGAGGAGAGUGGAAUUCCAUGUGUAGCGGUGAAAUGCGUAGAUAUAUGGAGGAACACCAGUGGCGAAGGCGACUCUCUGGUCUGUUAUUGACACUGAGGCUCGAAAGCGUGGGGAGCAAACAGGAUUAGA